Molecule: long non-coding RNA, 646 nt
Organism: Hemicordylus capensis (graceful crag lizard)
Lineage: Eukaryota; Metazoa; Chordata; Lepidosauria; Squamata; Cordylidae
Exons: 3
Source: RefSeq, a predicted model, not a curated record
CUCUUCUCUUAUCUAUCUAUCUAACCACCCAUCCAUCCAUGUCCAGACAUAAAACAUGAUAAAAAGAAAACUUAGUUCCAUUAUUUGCCAUAUGAGCUGUGACUGAAUGCUAAACAGAUAGAAAAACAAAGAAGAAUAUCGAGCCGAUAUUUAACUGGAGAGAGAUUCUGAUUCCUGAAGAUUCCAGGCCAAUCUGAAGAUUUUGGGAACCCUAACCCUAAACCUCUACACUGCACAAAAGGAUACUAGGUCCAUGCACAUGACCAUCAACAUGAAGGUUCUUCGCAACGGACAUGCUGAAUCCCCUGUGGACACAGGCAGACGUAUCCAUCUUCAGACAGAAAGGGGGAAGCAAAAUUCUCCCUGUCACUUUAGAGGGAGCUGCAUCUACCCUUAGCUUUGACAGCAGAUGUAAUGCAGCAGACUUAUUUUCAUAUCUCAUUCAGAAAGGAGAUGAGAUGUGAAUGAACUUGCUUGACAGUUGAACACCCUAGAGGGAUUUCAGUUUGUCACAGUCAGUACAGUUUCUCUACAAUUACUGCUGAACUACAGGAGAGCAGAAAAGAGAGGGGAGAAAACCAAGUCCAUAAAUCUGAGCCAUUCUGUGUUCUUUAAUUCCCAGCAUAUAAAAUAUGUUAUUUCCUCA